GACGAACGCUGGCGGCGUGCUUAACACAUGCAAGUCGAACGGGAAGGCCCUGCUUUUGUGGGGUGCUCGAGUGGCGAACGGGUGAGUAACACGUGAGUAACCUGCCCUUGACUUUGGGAUAACUUCAGGAAACUGGGGCUAAUACCGGAUAGGAGCUCCUGCUGCAUGGUGGGGGUUGGAAAGUUUCGGCGGUUGGGGAUGGACUCGCGGCUUAUCAGCUUGUUGGUGGGGUAGUGGCUUACCAAGGCUUUGACGGGUAGCCGGCCUGAGAGGGUGACCGGCCACAUUGGGACUGAGAUACGGCCCAGACUCCUACGGGAGGCAGCAGUGGGGAAUAUUGCACAAUGGGCGGAAGCCUGAUGCAGCAACGCCGCGUGCGGGAUGACGGCCUUCGGGUUGUAAACCGCUUUCGCCUGUGACGAAGCGUGAGUGACGGUAAUGGGUAAAGAAGCACCGGCUAACUACGUGCCAGCAGCCGCGGUGAUACGUAGGGUGCGAGCGUUGUCCGGAUUUAUUGGGCGUAAAGGGCUCGUAGGUGGUUGAUCGCGUCGGAAGUGUAAUCUUGGGGCUUAACCCUGAGCGUGCUUUCGAUACGGGUUGACUUGAGGAAGGUAGGGGAGAAUGGAAUUCCUGGUGGAGCGGUGGAAUGCGCAGAUAUCAGGAGGAACACCAGUGGCGAAGGCGGUUCUCUGGGCCUUUCCUGACGCUGAGGAGCGAAAGCGUGGGGAGCGAACAGGCUUAGAUACCCUGGUAGUCCACGCUGUAAACGGUGGGUACUAGGUGUGGGGUCCAUUCCACGGGUUCCGUGCCGUAGCUAACGCUUUAAGUACCCCGCCUGGGGAGUACGGCCGCAAGGCUAAAACUCAAAGGAAUUGACGGGGCCCCGCACAAGCGGCGGAGCAUGCGGAUUAAUUCGAUGCAACGCGUAGAACCUUACCUGGGUUUGACAUGGAUCGGGAGUGCUCAGAGAUGGGUGUGCCUCUUUUGGGGUCGGUUCACAGGUGGUGCAUGGCUGUCGUCAGCUCGUGUCGUGAGAUGUUGGGUUAAGUCCCGCAACGAGCGCAACCCUUGUUCACUGUUGCCAGCACGUUAUGGUGGGGACUCAGUGGAGACCGCCGGGGUCAACUCGGAGGAAGGUGGGGAUGACGUCAAGUCAUCAUGCCCCUUAUGUCCAGGGCUUCACGCAUGCUACAAUGGCUGGUACAGAGAGUGGCGAGCCUGUGAGGGUGAGCGAAUCUCGGAAAGCCGGUCUCAGUUCGGAUUGGGGUCUGCAACUCGACCUCAUGAAGUCGGAGUCGCUAGUAAUCGCAGAUCAGCAACGCUGCGGUGAAUACGUUCCCGGGGCUUGUACACACCGCCCGUCAAGUCAUGAAAGUUGGUAACACCCGAAGCCGGUGGCCUAACCGUUGUGGGGGAGCCGUCGAAGGUGGGACUGGUGAUUAGG
Molecule: ribosomal RNA, 1444 nt
Filed under: uncultured bacterium
Lineage: Bacteria
Description: 16S ribosomal RNA
Rfam family: Bacterial small subunit ribosomal RNA
Source: RNAcentral